GCUCAGACUAUCUAUACUCUGCUGUUAAGCCUUUCCUUGAUGCUUUUUCACUACUUCAGAACUUAAUAAUACACUAUUUACAUAUUGUUUGUUAGUUAAAUACUCAUGACUUCAACAAGUUUCAAGCAGGUGACUAUUCCCAUUCAUCUCCAUCAUCUUUAGCAUGAUGCCAGGCAUAAUGUAGUUCCUCAGCAAAUACUCAGCAAAUCACUCCUUGCGUCUCCUGGGUUUUAGCCCAGUGACAGGAACUGCCUCCCUGCAAAGUAGCAAGAAUAUGAGGAUAGCUGUCUUUAUGGCCAAGAAAUUCCAGACUUCAACUGUCUAUUCAGUUUCCUUCGGAUUACCUUAUACUCAGUAGAUUUGAAGCUGAAAGCAAGUGAUGAAAAUGUCUGUGAAAAAGUUGAGGAAAAAUCAUGAAAAACACGGCUAAAAAGAGAUGGAUUGCUGAUAUAAAGCACUAGUUAUAGUGACCUGGGUGCACUUUCCGUACCUUCUUCCUAUUAUUUUACAGCAUCUCAGAAGCUUCAGGUUAGGUCGAAGUACCAUUAUGUCCGUUUGUCUUCUUUUAGUCUUAGUAUCAGGCAGAGGCCCAAACUAUCAGACAGGAAAGGAGGCAUUUAAUACCUUACAAUUAUGUUGCUGUGGCAACUAUCCAGGUUUGCCUCCCACUCAGU
RNAcentral lists this long non-coding RNA (674 nucleotides) under Bos taurus (domestic cattle). RNAcentral's name for it is "long non-coding RNA NONBTAT004900". The record is from RNAcentral. Lineage: Eukaryota; Metazoa; Chordata; Mammalia; Artiodactyla; Bovidae.